CACGUAGGUGGUCCGGUAACUCAGUCGUGGAAUCCCGCCGCUCACCGGUGGAAUUGCGACUGAAAAUGCCAGACUUGAGCGCAGGAGGGGUGAGGGGAACUCUAGGUGGAGCGGUGAAAUGCGUAGAUAUCUAGAGGAACGCCGGAGGCGAAAGCGCCUCACUGGCCUGCUGCUGACACUGAGGUGCGAAACGCCGAGGGGAGACGAAACG
This 211-nucleotide ribosomal RNA is filed under the name uncultured bacterium. RNAcentral describes it as "partial 16S ribosomal RNA". It matches the Rfam family "Bacterial small subunit ribosomal RNA", at positions 568 to 774 of the family's 1533-position model. The record is from RNAcentral.